GCGAACGCUGGCGGCAGGCUUAACGCAUGCAAGUCGAGCGGGCACUUUCGGGUGUCAGCGGCGGACGGGUGAGUAACGCGUGGGAACGUGCCCUCUGGUUCGGAAUAACUCAGGGAAACUUGAGCUAAUACCGGAUACGCCCUUUUGGGGAAAGGCUUGCUGCCGGAGGAUCGGCCCGCGUCUGAUUAGCUAGUUGGUGAGGUAACGGCUCACCAAGGCGACGAUCAGUAGCUGGUCUGAGAGGAUGAUCAGCCACACUGGGACUGAGACACGGCCCAGACUCCUACGGGAGGCAGCAGUGGGGAAUAUUGGACAAUGGGCGCAAGCCUGAUCCAGCCAUGCCGCGUGAGUGAUGAAGGCCUUAGGGUUGUAAAGCUCUUUUAUCCGGGACGAUAAUGACGGUACCGGAGGAAUAAGCCCCGGCUAACUUCGUG
RNAcentral lists this ribosomal RNA (434 nucleotides) under uncultured bacterium. RNAcentral's name for it is "partial 16S ribosomal RNA". It matches the Rfam family "Bacterial small subunit ribosomal RNA", at positions 29 to 507 of the family's 1533-position model. The record is from RNAcentral.